AGUGAACGCUGGCGGUAGGCCUAACACAUGCAAGUCGAACGGCAGCACAGUAAGAGCUUGCUCUUACGGGUGGCGAGUGGCGGACGGGUGAGGAAUACAUCGGAAUCUACUUUUUCGUGGGGGAUAACGUAGGGAAACUUACGCUAAUACCGCAUACGACCUACGGGUGAAAGCAGGGGAUCUUCGGACCUUGCGCGAUUGAAUGAGCCGAUGUCGGAUUAGCUAGUUGGCGGGGUAAAGGCCCACCAAGGCGACGAUCCGUAGCUGGUCUGAGAGGAUGAUCAGCCACAAUUGAACUGAGACACGGUCCAGACUCCUACGGGAGGCAGCAGUGGGGAAUAUUGGACAAUGGGCGCAAGCCUGAUCCAGCCAUACCGCGUGGGUGAAGAAGGCCUUCGGGUUGUAAAGCCCUUUUGUUGGGAAAGAAAAGCAGCAGGUUAAUACCCCGCUGUUCUGACGGUACCCAAAGAAUAAGCACCGGCUAACUUCGU
This 491-nucleotide ribosomal RNA is filed under the name uncultured bacterium. RNAcentral describes it as "partial 16S ribosomal RNA". It matches the Rfam family "Bacterial small subunit ribosomal RNA", at positions 29 to 506 of the family's 1533-position model. The record is from RNAcentral.